RNAcentral lists this ribosomal RNA (241 nucleotides) under uncultured Streptococcus sp. Its description in RNAcentral is "partial 16S ribosomal RNA". It matches the Rfam family "Bacterial small subunit ribosomal RNA", at positions 1137 to 1382 of the family's 1533-position model. Lineage: Bacteria; Bacillati; Bacillota; Bacilli; Lactobacillales; Streptococcaceae. The record is from RNAcentral.
ACUCUAGCGAGAUGCGGUAAUAACCGGAGGAAGUGGGAUGACGUCAAAUCAUCAUGCCCCUUAUGACCUGGGCUACACACGUGCUACAAUGGUUGGUACAACGAGUUGCGAGUCGGUGACGGCGAGCUAAUCUCUUAAAGCCAAUCUCAGUUCGGAUUGUAGGCUGCAACUCGCCUACAUGAAGUCGGAAUCGCUAGUAAUCGCGGAUCAGCACGCCGCGGUGAAUACGUUCCCGGGCCUU